GAUGGGUGACACCACCCCCUUCUCUCUUCCAGGGCCUGGCAGGCACCCAGAGACUCCACCGAGGGGUGGCAGAAGCAUGAAAUUCUACACCAUGGCUCGCACCCAGACACUGCUUCAAACCCCCUUGCCCGCUCCAGGGGCCGUACCCACACACUUCAACUGAGCAGGGACGUCCGACUCUCUGACCACCGCCCAGCAUGCUGCACCCCCAUGCCCUUUCCUCCCUCCACCCCCAAACCUGAAAGGAUGCCUUCAUGCCUUCAGGGGUGGAACCUGAACUUUUCUGACCUGGGAGAGGUGCCACCAUGGACUUUCCUGACCCAAGUCCUGCCUCCUGCUGUACCCUGUGGCCUGGUCCUGAGCCUGGGCCUCAUUCCAGCUCCAGAGAAUACAGACAGGGACCCAUGAAGUGCUUUACACCGAGUAACUCACUCACUCCUCACCCUUUGAGUUUUCCCCAGGUAUAAUUGACAUCCAGUAAGCUACAUGUAAAGUACAAUUUGGUCUUGAAACAUGGCGCACCUGUGAAACCAUCAUCACAAACGAGAUGAUGAACUAACAAUCACCUGAAAGUUUUCUCACGAUCUUUUGUAACGCCUCCCUUCCCAUUUUUAAUCCCUUCCCCUAGCAACCACUGGUUUGUUGUCACUAGAGAUUAGCUUGCACUUCCUCAAUUUUAUGUGAAGUCAUGGGGUAUGCACUAUUUUUUUUUUUUUUUUUU
Molecule: long non-coding RNA, 721 nt
Organism: Mustela lutreola (European mink)
Lineage: Eukaryota; Metazoa; Chordata; Mammalia; Carnivora; Mustelidae
Exons: 3
Source: RefSeq, a predicted model, not a curated record